This 308-nucleotide long non-coding RNA is filed under the name Monodelphis domestica (gray short-tailed opossum). RNAcentral describes it as "lncRNA (ENSMODG00000039864.1)". The record is from RNAcentral. Lineage: Eukaryota; Metazoa; Chordata; Mammalia; Didelphimorphia; Didelphidae.
CAAUUCAUUUCAACUACCAUGGGGCAUCUAUUUUUGUGUCUAGUGAUGUACUGAGAGAUACAGAAUUUUAAGAGAAGAAUUUCAAGAUUUGAUGUCUGUCUUCAAGGAGUUUACAAUGUGUUUGGGAGACAAGACUUAUAGAUGUGAAACAACUAGGGAUCAAGCUUAAGGAAAGUAAGAAGCAGAAGGACUUCUCCCCUGUCUCAUCAUGCCAUAGAGGUGACCUUCCAUUGUAUGUAAAGGUCUGUGCUAGAAACACAAGCUCCAACAAAUCCUAUUCAUCUGGAAAGACAUCAGGUUCCAAAUAA